Apis cerana (Asiatic honeybee) is the source of this 1328-nucleotide non-coding RNA. NCBI's taxonomy places the organism in Eukaryota, Metazoa, Arthropoda, Insecta, Hymenoptera, Apidae. The record is from the annotation of a RefSeq genome assembly.
AAUUGAUAUAUUUAAUUUUUAUAUUAGUGUUAAAAAUAGCUAUAAUUUUUAAAAGUUUAUAAAAUUUUUAUGUUUAAUUAAUUAUUUAGAAAUAAUUAUUUAAUUAAUAAUUUAAAGUAAUGUGAAUGAAUAUUUUUAAAUAAAGAAAAGUAGAAUUAUUUUUGUACCUUUUGUAUCAGGGUUGAUUAAAAUUUAUUUAAUAAAUUUAAAUAUCUCGAAAAUAAGUGAGCUAAAUUUGUAAUAUUUUUUUUGUUGCAAUAAAAUUAUAAAUAUAAAUUUAGAGAUUAAAUGUCAUUCGAACUUAUUGAUAUCUAGUUUUUUUAGAAAUAAAUUUAAUUUAGAUAUAAAAUUUUUAAUACCUUAAAAUUUAUUUAUAGUAUUAAUUUUUAUAUUAAAAAUUUAUGGGAUAAACUAUAAAUUUAUUUAUAAAAAUUUUUGAUUUUAUUUAUAAUAUUAUGAAGUUAAUAUUUUUUAUUAAUAUAAAAAAUUUAAUAAUUUAGUUAUUAAUUUUUAAAAAAUUUAAAUUUUGAAUUUUAUUUAUUCUAUAAAAACAUAUAUUUUAAUUUUUAAGAUAUAGUGAUAAUGAUUAAAUUAGUAAUAAAAGUAUAUUUAAUAAUAUAUAAAUUAUUUAUAUAUAUAUAAUUUAAAGGAACUCGGCAAAAUUGAUUAUUCACCUGUUUAACAAAAACAUGGCCUAUUGAGUAUAAUUUUAGGUCGAUCUGCUCCAUGAAAUAAAUUUAAAUAGCUGCAGUAUAUUGACUGUACAAAGGUAGCAUAAUAAAUUGUCUUUUAAUUGAAGAAUUGAAUGAAUGAAUUGAUGAAAUAACAACUGUCUCUAUUUUAUUUAAUGAAUUUAAAUUUUUAGUAAAAAUUCUGAAAUUUAAUUAUGGGACGAUAAGACCCUAUAGAAUUUUAUUUAAUAUAAUUAUUUAUUUAAAUUAUUUGUGAAUAUAUAAUUAAUUUAAAUUUGAUUGGGAGGAUUGGUAAAUAAAAAUAACUUUAUCUAAAAAUUAAUUUUGAUGAAAAGAUUUUUUUUGACUUAUAAUUUAUGAUUAAAAGAAUAAAUUACCUUAGGGAUAACAGCGUAAUAUCUUUUGAUAGACCACAUUGAUAAAGAUGUUUGCGACCUCGAUGUUGAAUUAAGAGAAAAGUUAAACGCAGGAGUUUAAAAUUUUAAGUCUGUUCGACUUUUAAAAUCUUACAUGAUUUGAGUUCAAAUCGACGUAAGUCAGAUUGGUUUCUAUCUAUAAUAAAAUUAAAAUUAUUUGUACGAAAGGACUUUAAUUUUUAAAUUAUUUAUAUUAUUAAUUAAUGAAUAUAUUAAUUUG